UACAGAGGGGGCAAGCGUUGUUCGGAAUUACUGGGCGUAAAGGGCGCGUAGGCGGCCUGUUAAGUCGAACGUGAAAUCCCCGGGCUCAACCCGGGAACUGCGUCCGAUACUGGCAGGCUUGAAUCCGGGAGAGGGAUGUGGAAUUCCAGGUGUAGCAGUGAAAUGCGUAGAUAUCUGGAGGAACACCGGUGGCGAAGGCGGCAUCCUGGACCGGUAUUGACGCUGAUGAGCGAAAGCCAGGGGAGCAAACGGG
RNAcentral lists this ribosomal RNA (253 nucleotides) under uncultured bacterium. RNAcentral's name for it is "partial 16S ribosomal RNA". It matches the Rfam family "Bacterial small subunit ribosomal RNA", at positions 524 to 776 of the family's 1533-position model. The record is from RNAcentral.